UCAAAAACAUGGUUUCUUGUAAUUAUUUAAGAGAUCUGACCUGCCCACUGAAGAUAUUUUGAAGGGCCGCAGUAUUUUGACUGUGCAAAGGUAGCAUAAUCAUUAGUCUUUUAAUUGAAGGCUGGUAUGAAUGGUUGGAUGAGGUAAAUUCUGUUUUAUGUUAAUUGGUGUUGAAUUUAGAUUUUAAGUAAAAAUACUUAAAUGUUAUUAAGGGACGAGAAGACCCUAUAGAGUUUAAUAAAUGUAGUAAAUAAUUGAGUUAAAUCUUAAUUUUUGGUUUUUAUGUAAUUUAUUUAAUUGGGGUGAUUGGAAAGAUAAAAUAAACUCUUCUUUGUAUUUAAUAAAUUAAUUAGUUUUAUGAUCCAUAUUUAAUGAUUAAAAGAUUAAAUUACCUUAGGGAUAACAGCAUAAUUCUUUUUAAGAGUUCAUAUCGAAAAAAGAGAUUGUGACCUCGAUGUUGGAUUAAGAUUAGUUAUGGGUGCAGAUGUUCAAUAACUAGGUCUGUUCGACCUUGAAAAUCUUACAUGAUCUGAGUUCA
Molecule: ribosomal RNA, 538 nt
Filed under: Tenodera superstitiosa bokiana
Lineage: Eukaryota; Metazoa; Arthropoda; Insecta; Mantodea; Mantidae
Description: partial 16S ribosomal RNA
Rfam family: Bacterial large subunit ribosomal RNA
Source: RNAcentral